This 454-nucleotide ribosomal RNA is filed under the name uncultured bacterium. RNAcentral's name for it is "bacterial SSU rRNA". It matches the Rfam family "Bacterial small subunit ribosomal RNA", at positions 340 to 786 of the family's 1533-position model. The record is from RNAcentral.
UACGGAAGGCAGCGGUGGGGAAUAUUGCACAAUGGGCGCAAGCCUGAUGCAGCCAUGCCGCGUGUAUGAAAAAGGCCUUCGGGUUGUAAAGUACUUUCAGUCGUGAGGAAGGUGUUAAGGUUAAUAACCUUAGCAAUUGACGUUAGCGACAGAAGAAGCACCGGCUAACUCCGUGCCAGCAGCCGCGGUAAUACGGAGGGUGCGAGCGUUAAUCGGAAUUACUGGGCGUAAAGGGCACGCAGGCGGUUAAUUAAGUUGGAUGUGAAAUCCCCGGGCUUAACCUGGGAAUGGCAUUCAAGACUGGUUAGCUAGAGUCUUGGUAGAGGGGGUAGAAUUCCAUGUGUAGCGGUGAAAUGCGUAGAGAUGUGGAGGAAUACCGGUGGCGAAGGCGGCCCCUGGACAAAGACUGACGCUCAUGUGCGAAAGCGUGGGGAGCAAACAGGGAUUAGAUACC